UACGUAGGGUGCGAGCGUUAAUCGGAAUUACUGGGCGUAAAGCGUGCGCAGGCGGUUUCUGAAGCCCGUUGUGAAAUCCCCGGGCUUAACCUGGGAACUGCAUUUGUGACUGGCAAGCUAGAGUAUGGCAGAGGGGGGUAGAAUUCCACGUGUAGCAGUGAAAUGCGUAGAGAUGUGGAGGAAUACCGAUGGCGAAGGCAGCCCCCUGGGCCAAUACUGACGCUCAUGCACGAAAGCGUGGGGAGCAAACAGG
RNAcentral lists this ribosomal RNA (253 nucleotides) under uncultured bacterium. RNAcentral's name for it is "partial 16S ribosomal RNA". It matches the Rfam family "Bacterial small subunit ribosomal RNA", at positions 524 to 776 of the family's 1533-position model. The record is from RNAcentral.